CGCCGGUAUGGCAGUAAACGGGGGGGGGCAACUUGCAGACAUGUUCUCUUCAGUUAGCAGCCUCGUUAUCCACCUGCACGUGCUCCUGGCUCACCAUUCAAUGCCGCCAUCUUGGCUGCUGACUGUCUUGACUGAUGGCUACGUCGACCAAUCAGAUGAAGUUUAGGUCAGGAGUCAGGCAGCUUGCUCAGCCAAUAGAUAACCCUAACCCGACACAAGCAGCAGGGCCUUGUACUCAGUGUGUGUGUAUUGGGAGAGAACACAGAGGUGUGGAUAGAGUGGGAUUUGGCCUACUGAUGUGACAUCCCUGCGGCAUACAUAUCUGUCUGUCUAGAACUUAAUUGCGCAUAACAGGGUUGAGGUUAUACAAGCAUUAAAAAUGCAAAAAAUAAUGGCAAGUAUGGUUUUGAAUAGAAAACCCUUUUAUUACGGAUACACCAUUCAAAUAAAACUCUGAACAAUCCAUACACACACUGUCUAAAAACAGACACUCCAUUUUUUGAUAAAACAUUGAUAAACAGUGGCACAAAAUAUAAAGACAGAAAAAGUAAGGCAAGUUCUUUAC
Long non-coding RNA from Etheostoma spectabile (orangethroat darter), 565 nucleotides. RefSeq lists it as uncharacterized. The transcript is spliced from 2 exons. Lineage: Eukaryota; Metazoa; Chordata; Actinopteri; Perciformes; Percidae. The record is from RefSeq and is a predicted model, not a curated record.